CAAUAGGGAAUAUUAGUAAUGGGCGAAAGCCUGAACUAGCAACGCCGCGUGUGCGAAGAAGGCCUUCGGGUUGUAAAGCACUUUUUGAGAGGAUGAGGAAGGACGGUACUCUCAGAAUAAGUCUCGGCUAACUACGUGCCAGCAGCCGCGGUAACACGUAGGAGGCGAACGUUAUCCGGAUUUACUGGGCGUAAAGCGCGUGUAGGUGGUUUGGUAAGUAGGGCGUGAAAGCUCCUGGCUCAACUGGGAGAGGCCGUUCUAAACUGCCGAACUAGAGGAUGGUAGAGGGAGGUGGAAUUCCGGGUGUAGCGGUGGAAUGCGCAGAUAUCCGGAGGAACACCAGUGGCGAAAGCGGCCUCCUGGACCAUUCCUGACACUCAGACGCGAAAGCUAGGGUAGCAAACGG
Molecule: ribosomal RNA, 406 nt
Filed under: uncultured bacterium
Lineage: Bacteria
Description: bacterial SSU rRNA
Rfam family: Bacterial small subunit ribosomal RNA
Source: RNAcentral